UACGGAGGAUGCGAGCGUUAUCCGGAUUUAUUGGGUUUAAAGGGUGCGCAGGCGGAUUUUUAAGUCAGCGGUCAAAUCGUGGGGCUCAACCCCAUCCAGCCGUUGAAACUGGAAGACUUGAGUGUGUUUGAGGUAGGCGGAAUGCGUGGUGUAGCGGUGAAAUGCAUAGAUAUCACGCAGAACUCCGAUUGCGAAGGCAGCAUACCGGCGCCCUACUGACGCUGAGGCACGAAAGUGCGGGGAUCGAACAGG
Molecule: ribosomal RNA, 252 nt
Filed under: uncultured Bacteroidales bacterium
Lineage: Bacteria; Pseudomonadati; Bacteroidota; Bacteroidia; Bacteroidales
Description: partial 16S ribosomal RNA
Rfam family: Bacterial small subunit ribosomal RNA
Source: RNAcentral